This 74-nucleotide transfer RNA is filed under the name Achromatium sp. WMS3. Its description in RNAcentral is "tRNA-Cys". It matches the Rfam family "tRNA". Rfam says of the family: Transfer RNA (tRNA) molecules are approximately 80 nucleotides in length. Their secondary structure includes four short double-helical elements and three loops (D, anti-codon, and T loops). The record is from RNAcentral. Lineage: Bacteria; Pseudomonadati; Pseudomonadota; Gammaproteobacteria; Thiotrichales; Thiotrichaceae.
GGCUGGGUAGCAAAUUGGUUAUGCAUCGGCCUGCAAAGCUGCGGAGACCGGUUCGAUUCCGGUCCCAGCCUCCA